Molecule: ribosomal RNA, 464 nt
Filed under: uncultured bacterium
Lineage: Bacteria
Description: bacterial SSU rRNA
Rfam family: Bacterial small subunit ribosomal RNA
Source: RNAcentral
GACGAACGCUGGCGGCGUGCCUAACACAUGCAAGUCGAACGGAGUGAAUCGCUUCGGUGGUUCACUUAGUGGCAAACGGGUGAGUAACGCGUGAGGAACCUGCCUUUCAGUGGGGGACAACAGUUGGAAACGACUGCUAAUACCGCAUAACAUACACUGAGCGCAUGCUCGGUGUAUCAAAGCUUUAUGUGCUGAAAGAUGGCCUCGCGUCUGAUUAGAUAGUUGGUGAGGUAACGGCUCACCAAGUCGACGAUCAGUAGCCGGACUGAGAGGUUGAACGGCCACAUUGGGACUGAGAUACGGCCCAGACUCCUACGGGAGGCAGCAGUGGGGAAUAUUGGGCAAUGGGGGAAACCCUGACCCAGCAACGCCGCGUGAAGGAAGAAGGCUUUCGGGUUGUAAACUUCUUUUACCAGGGACGAAGACGUGACGGUACCUGGAGAAAAGCCACGGCUAACUACGUG